GAGGCCUCCUAGCUCACAGCCAGCCCUCAGAGUCCUCACAAACUAUCAGGAGCUGGCUAUGCCUUGGGCGGUGGUGGCAUCCUGAUUCAUUUGACAUCUUUGGGCCUCCCUACCUGCUGGUGAGCACUGUGGCUCUUCUUGCCAAAGAGAUCCACAAAUCCCCAGUCUACCUCAAAGCUCAGAGAAGUCAGAUGGCUGACUGCCUUCUUCCAAGAUAUGGGAUGGGAACUUCCAGCACUUUGGGGAAACAGCAUCCAUUAUUCUAUGGAGAUGUUCUGUAACAAUGUCAUCUCCACAAAGAACUCACUGCCUCAGAGGUUUUCUAAGGUGGUGAUUAAACAUUUGCUACGUUGUAAUUUCCCA
Molecule: long non-coding RNA, 363 nt
Filed under: Mus caroli (Ryukyu mouse)
Lineage: Eukaryota; Metazoa; Chordata; Mammalia; Rodentia; Muridae
Description: predicted gene, 37950 (MGP_CAROLIEiJ_G0002449.1)
Source: RNAcentral